GGGUGUUCAAAGGACAUUGCAAUAUGAAUUCAGCAUCUGGCAUCAUUGGUUUUCUUGGCAUGUUAAACCUGGUAUUUUUAUUGAUACAAUA
RNAcentral lists this small nucleolar RNA (91 nucleotides) under Myotis davidii. Its description in RNAcentral is "Small nucleolar RNA SNORA8". It matches the Rfam family "Small nucleolar RNA SNORA8", at positions 42 to 139 of the family's 139-position model. From Rfam's summary of the family: ACA8 is a member of the H/ACA class of snoRNA that guide the sites of modification of uridines to pseudouridines. The record is from Rfam by way of RNAcentral. Lineage: Eukaryota; Metazoa; Chordata; Mammalia; Chiroptera; Vespertilionidae.